Long non-coding RNA from Ctenopharyngodon idella (grass carp), 1348 nucleotides. RefSeq lists it as uncharacterized. The record is from RefSeq and is a predicted model, not a curated record. NCBI's taxonomy places the organism in Eukaryota, Metazoa, Chordata, Actinopteri, Cypriniformes, Xenocyprididae. The transcript has 2 exons.
GCUCCUUUGAUCAACCAACAGUUACAGGAGCGAUUGGUUUGAAGAAGGGUGGAACCAGCACUAAGGGGUUUUGGCCCUGUAGUAGAAAGCCUUUCAUGAUCAGGACGUAUUUAUUGUACUUUUGUAUUGUUCAUCUAUAAAUAAGAAAACUCUGGAACUAUACAAAAACAACAUCAGUGAAGAGGACCCAAUAACGAUAAUAUAACUGCAAGCAACGAUGACGGGCCCAUGCCCGGCGCAACUGCCACCCCGGUGGCUUUAUGGAGACUGUUCAUGACAGGAAAUAUGCAUUUAAACUGGGAAUACACUCCCUACUCCCUUCUUUAUAGACAUUCCUGCCUCUCUCAGAACAAAAGAAGUCACAGUGCAACCGGAUGAAGGCCAGGAGGAGUUGUUGGACAGUAGAAGUAUUUUCCAAAAGCCUGGUCAACAAGCAUUGCAACUCUGAUAACUGACCACAAGCAUGUGUAACUUCACAUACACCAUCUACGCUGGUAUGGAUGCAAGAAUGGACUAUAGGGAAUUUUAAGUGCUGUUGCAUAUUCUUUGUUUUUAUGUACGUUUGUGUACAUUCAUCAAACCCUUAGUAAUCUUUUAAUUCCAGUUCACACUGCACCAAUAGACACGGACAACCACCAGAUUACAGUAUAUCACUUCUUAGACAUUCCACGAACCGACAAACAAUGAGUGAACAUGAACCGACCAACACUAACAGACAGUGUCAGGGUAUCUGCCGAAUUGUAUCUGCCAUUGGUCGGUGUGAACUGCCUUUUUAUAAAGGAUGUUUUAUGUAUGUACUGAUCUCACAAAGCACAAUACAGCAGGAUGUUUGAUUUUGUGGAUGUCUGGCAUUUUCCCAUAACAUUUUCUUCAAACAACACUUCAAAACAAAACACAAGGAGGAAGUGGUGCUUGUGGUUAUUCUGUUCCUCUUGGAUGAAACUGCAUUGGAUGUGACUCAUGCUGCUACCACAUACAUGCUUAUGGCAGUGACUUACAUGCUCAUUGCAUGUAGGCUAUUAUAUAGCAAAGAGGUGUGUAUUUUAUGGAAAUAGAUAAAAAGUGAUAGAGUGUGAGUGAGUGAGUGAGAGAGAGAGAGAGAGAGAGAGAGAGAGAGAGAGAGAGAGAGAGAGAGAGAAUGAGAGGGAGAGAGGGAGGGAGAGAGGGAGGGAGGAUCCCUAGCAAACAAGAAUGUCUCUUCCUGUUUACACAAUUUAUGGCCCAGUAGAGGAUGUGGCAGAAUUAGCCCGAACCUUAAUUAUAUUACACAUUUAUAAUAAUUUAUUGUUUAAACAGUAUAAAUAAUAUAAAAUAAUUAAAAAAUAAAUGGGUAAAAAAUAAAUGUAAA